CGGAGGGUGCAAGCAUUGAUCGGAAUUACUGGGCGUAAAGGGCGCGUAGGCGGCUGGAAAAGUCGGAUGUGAAAUUCCGGGGCUCAACCCCGGAGCUGCAUUUGAAACUUCUAGCUAGAGGUAGGUAAGGGAAAACGGAAUUCCACGUGUAGCGGUGAAAUGCGUAGAGAUGUGGAAGAACACCGGUGGUGAAGACGGUUUUCUGUGCCUGACCUGACGCUGAGGCGCGAAAGCUAGGGGAGCAAACAGGAUUAGAUACCCUGGUAGUCCUAGCUGUAAACGAUGCAUACUGGAUGUAGGAAGGCUCAACCCUUUCUGUAUCGGAGCUAACGCGUUAAGUAUGCCGCCUGGGGAGUACGCUCGCAAGGGUG
Molecule: ribosomal RNA, 371 nt
Filed under: uncultured organism
Description: bacterial SSU rRNA
Rfam family: Bacterial small subunit ribosomal RNA
Source: RNAcentral